This 520-nucleotide ribosomal RNA is filed under the name Theileria ovis. RNAcentral's name for it is "SSU rRNA". It matches the Rfam family "Eukaryotic small subunit ribosomal RNA", at positions 184 to 716 of the family's 1831-position model. Lineage: Eukaryota; Apicomplexa; Aconoidasida; Piroplasmida; Theileriidae. The record is from RNAcentral.
UCGAGACCUUUGGGUGGCGUUUAUUAGACCUAAAACCAAACCGCUUGCGGUGUUCGGUGAUUCAUAAUAAACUUGGGAAUUGGGUUUUUGGAUGGGAAGUAUCCUUCAAGUUUUUGACCUAUUAGCUUUGGGCGGUAGGGUUUUGGCCUACCGGGGCAACGACGGGUAACGGGGAAUUAGGGUUUGAUUCCGGAGAGGGAACCUGAGAAACGGGUUCCCCAUUUAAGGAAGGCAGCCGGCGGGCAAAUUACCCAAUCCUGACACAGGGAGGUAGUGACAAGAAAUAACAAUACGGGGGUUAAUGUUUUGUAAUUGGAAUGAUGGGAAUUUAAACCUUUUCCAGAGUAUCAAUUGGAGGGCAAGUUUGGUGCCAGCAGGCGCGGUAAUUCCAGGUUCAAUAGGGUAUAUUAAAAUUGUUGCAGUUAAAAAGGUUGUAGUUGAAUUUUUGGUGCCUUGCUUUUGCUCCUUUACGGGUUUUUGCCUUGUGGGUUAUUUUGGACUUUGUUUUACAAAGUCCGGA